RNAcentral lists this non-coding RNA (23 nucleotides) under Cricetulus griseus (Chinese hamster). Lineage: Eukaryota; Metazoa; Chordata; Mammalia; Rodentia; Cricetidae. The record is from RNAcentral.
UGGGUGAGACGAAAUAGUCUGAC